UUUGCUGAUGAUGCGUGAGGAGCGCUCCUCUCAUCCUCCGAAAGAGCAGAAUUAACCAACUGACGCUUUCACGGCGCCGUUGCCGCCGCGCCCCUCUGCCCCCCCGGCCGCCCUCGCAGGCGUCGGUGCUGCUGAGCG
Molecule: small RNA, 138 nt
Filed under: Leishmania major strain Friedlin
Lineage: Eukaryota; Euglenozoa; Kinetoplastea; Trypanosomatida; Trypanosomatidae
Description: Leishmania major c/D snoRNA
Source: RNAcentral